Molecule: ribosomal RNA, 200 nt
Filed under: uncultured Glomus
Lineage: Eukaryota; Fungi; Glomeromycota; Glomeromycetes; Glomerales; Glomeraceae
Also listed under: 1 other name
Description: partial small subunit ribosomal RNA
Rfam family: Eukaryotic small subunit ribosomal RNA
Source: RNAcentral
CCAAUAGCGUAUAUUAAGGUUGCUGCGGUUAAAAAGCUCGUAGUUGAAUUUCGGGAUUGACACAUCGGUCGUGCCUUAAGGGGUAUGAACUGGCGUAGCCAAUUCCUCGUCUUCUGGUGAAUUGUGAUGCCUCUUUAACUGGGUGUUUCAAUGAACUAGGACUUUUACUUUGAAAAAAUUAGAGUGUUUAAAGCAGGCAU